RNAcentral lists this long non-coding RNA (344 nucleotides) under Brassica napus (rape). Its description in RNAcentral is "long non-coding RNA (BNAP_LNC021204)". The record is from RNAcentral. Lineage: Eukaryota; Viridiplantae; Streptophyta; Magnoliopsida; Brassicales; Brassicaceae.
UAAGACUCUUAACUUCAUUAUGUGUCCAAAGGAUUUUUCUUGGCAAUGAGAGAGUUAACAAUCUAAAUGUACAAAGGAUUUUUCUUUGUGUUUUCAGACACUUUCUACAAUGACCUUGCAAAUUAAUAUGCACUCAAAGGUUUCUUUGUACAUUUAGAUUGUUUGAUAAAAAAAAAAAAGACUCUCUCAUUGCCAAGAGAUAAAUAAAUCUUGGACGAUUGUGUGAUGUUAAUGCACAAUUUGAAAUGUAAUUGGUUUGAUUGACCCAUUGAGCUCAAAGUCAAAGUUUUUUCUUUUCUUUUUUUUUUUUAACUUUCUCUGACAUGAACAAGACUACUCACUCA